This is a long non-coding RNA of Poeciliopsis prolifica (blackstripe livebearer), 283 nucleotides long. RefSeq lists it as uncharacterized. The transcript is spliced from 4 exons. The record is from RefSeq and is a predicted model, not a curated record. Lineage: Eukaryota; Metazoa; Chordata; Actinopteri; Cyprinodontiformes; Poeciliidae.
ACAAUUCUUCCCUCAGUUUGUCACUCGGAUCCUCAGAGGUCAACAGGAACGGCAAACCUGACACUGUGUACUCCCUGGCUGAAUCAAAAAACUCUGGGACAAAGAGGAGUCCUCCAGAUCCAGAAGAGGGCGCUCUUUGGUCACAUGUGAAAAUACAAGUUAUAGAUGAAUCCAUAGACAAUGGGUACUCUCUGCUUGAAGCAAAAAACUUUGGAACAAAGAGUAAGACGCAAAUAUAUUCAAAAUACAGAACAGUCAGAACUGUUCUUAAAUCUGCAGCAUU